GAUGAACGCUAGCGGCAGGCCUAAUACAUGCAAGUCGAACGGUGUAGCAAUACAUAGUGGCGCACGGGUGCGUAACACGUAUGCAACCUACCUUAUACUGGGGGAUAGCCUUUGGAAACGGAGAUUAAUACCCCAUAGUACAUUUAGAUGGCAUCAUCUGAAUGUUAAAGAUUUAUCGGUAUAAGCUGGGCAUGCGUCCAAUUAGUUAGUUGGUGAGGUAACGGCUCACCAAGACUUUGAUUGGUAGGGGAACUGAGAGGUUAAUCCCCCACACUGGCACUGGGAUACGGGCCAGACUCCUACGGGAGGCAGCAGUAGGGAAUAUUGGGCAAUGGAGGCAACUCUGACCCAGCCAUGCCGCGUGCAGGAAGAAGGCGUUAUGCGUUGUAAACUGCUUUUAUAUAGGAAGAAAUAGUCCUUGCGAGGAAAGUUGACGGUACUAUAUGAAUAAGCACCGGCUAACUCCGUGCCAGCCGCCGCCGUAA
This 485-nucleotide ribosomal RNA is filed under the name uncultured bacterium. RNAcentral describes it as "partial 16S ribosomal RNA". It matches the Rfam family "Bacterial small subunit ribosomal RNA", at positions 28 to 523 of the family's 1533-position model. The record is from RNAcentral.